This 163-nucleotide ribosomal RNA is filed under the name uncultured bacterium. Its description in RNAcentral is "partial 16S rRNA". It matches the Rfam family "Bacterial small subunit ribosomal RNA", at positions 355 to 511 of the family's 1533-position model. The record is from RNAcentral.
UAGGGAAUCUUCCACAAUGGGCGAAAGCCUGACGGAGCAACGCCGCGUGUGUGAUGAAGGGUUUCGGCUCGUAAACACUGUUGUAAGAGAAGAAUGACAUUGAGAGUAACUGUUCAAUGUGUGACGGUAUCUUACCAGAAAGGAACGGCUAAAUACGUGCCGG